CCUACGGGAGGCAGCAGUGGGGAAUAUUGGGCAAUGGGCGCAAGCCUGACCCAGCAACGCCGCGUGAAGGAAGAAGGCUUUCGGGUUGUAAACUUCUUUUCUCAGGGACGAAGAAAGUGACGGUACCUGAGGAAUAAGCCACGGCUAACUACGUGCCAGCAGCCGCGGUAAUACGUAGGUGGCAAGCGUUAUCCGGAUUUACUGGGGGUAAAGGGCGUGUAGGCGGGACUGCAAGUCAGAUGUGAAAACCACGGGCUCAAACUGUGGCCUGCAGUUGAAACUGUAGGUCUUGAGUACUGGAGAGGCAGACGGAAUGCGUAGUGUAGCGGUGAAAUGCGUAGAUAUCAGGAGGAACACCAGUGGCGAAGGCGGUCUGCUGGACAGCAACUGACGCUGAGGCGCGAAAGCGUGGGGAGCAAACAGGAUUAGAUACCCGGGUAGUC
RNAcentral lists this ribosomal RNA (443 nucleotides) under uncultured bacterium. RNAcentral describes it as "partial 16S ribosomal RNA". It matches the Rfam family "Bacterial small subunit ribosomal RNA", at positions 338 to 795 of the family's 1533-position model. The record is from RNAcentral.